This 148-nucleotide ribosomal RNA is filed under the name uncultured bacterium. RNAcentral's name for it is "partial 16S ribosomal RNA". It matches the Rfam family "Bacterial small subunit ribosomal RNA", at positions 1339 to 1500 of the family's 1533-position model. The record is from RNAcentral.
UAAUCACAGGUCAGCAUACUGUGGUGAAUACGUUCCCGGGCCUUGUACACACCGCCCGUCACACCAUGAGAGUUGAGAAUACCCGAAGCCCAUGUCAAAGUGGCCGAAGGUAGGCUUGAUGAUUGGGGUGAAGUCGUAACAAGGUACC